RNAcentral lists this ribosomal RNA (165 nucleotides) under Raddia soderstromii. RNAcentral describes it as "5.8S ribosomal RNA". It matches the Rfam family "5.8S ribosomal RNA". From Rfam's summary of the family: 5.8S ribosomal RNA (5.8S rRNA) is a component of the large subunit of the eukaryotic ribosome. It is transcribed by RNA polymerase I as part of the 45S precursor that also contains 18S and 28S rRNA. Functionally, it is thought that 5.8S rRNA may be involved in ribosome translocation. Lineage: Eukaryota; Viridiplantae; Streptophyta; Magnoliopsida; Poales; Poaceae. The record is from RNAcentral.
ACGACUCUCGGCAACGGAUAUCUCGGCUCUCGCAUCGAUGAAGAACGUAGCGAAAUGCGAUACCUGGUGUGAAUUGCAGAAUCCCGCGAACCAUCGAGUCUUUGAACGCAAGUUGCGCCCGAGGCCAUCCGGCCGAGGGCACGCCUGCCUGGGCGUCACGCCAAA